GACGAACCGUCCAAACGUUAUUCGGAAUCACUGGGCUUAAAGGGUGCGUAGGCGGCGCGGAAAGUUGGGUGUGAAAUCCCUCGGCUCAACCGAGGAACUGCGCCCAAAACUACCGUGCUCGAGGAAGAUAGAGGUGAGCGGAACUUAGGGUGGAGCGGUGAAAUGCGUUGAUAUCCUAAGGAACACCGGUGGCGAAAGCGGCUCACUGGAUCUUUUCUGACGCUGAGGCACGAAAGCGAGGGUAGCGAACGGG
RNAcentral lists this ribosomal RNA (253 nucleotides) under uncultured bacterium. RNAcentral's name for it is "partial 16S ribosomal RNA". It matches the Rfam family "Bacterial small subunit ribosomal RNA", at positions 524 to 776 of the family's 1533-position model. The record is from RNAcentral.